AACACUAAAUCACAUACGUGAAUUAAGCUGAUACCUUAAAAGAAAAGAAUGGAUUCUUUUAGUGUUA
This 67-nucleotide transfer RNA is filed under the name Bugula neritina. RNAcentral's name for it is "tRNA-Ile". Lineage: Eukaryota; Metazoa; Bryozoa; Gymnolaemata; Cheilostomatida; Bugulidae. The record is from RNAcentral.